Molecule: ribosomal RNA, 453 nt
Filed under: uncultured bacterium
Lineage: Bacteria
Description: bacterial SSU rRNA
Rfam family: Bacterial small subunit ribosomal RNA
Source: RNAcentral
UCGAGAAUCUUCCACAAUGGACGAAAGUCUGAUGGAGCGACGCCGCGUGAUUGAUGAAGUCCCUCUGGGACGUAAAGAUCUUUUUAUGAGGGAAGAAGUUUAUUGACGGUACCUCAUGAAUAAGAGGCUCCUAAUCUCGUGCCAGCAGGAGCGGUAAUACGAGAGCCUCGAGCGUUAUCCGGAAUUAUUGGGCGUAAAGGGUGCGUAGGUUGUUCUGUUAGUCUUUUGUCAAAUCCUCAGGCUUAACUUGAGGACCGCAGAAGAAACGGCAGAACUUGAAAGUGCGAGAGGUAUACGGAACUCAUGGUGUAGGGGUGAAAUCCGUUGAUAUCAUGGGGAACACCAAAAGCGAAAGCAGUAUACUGGCGCAUAUUUGACACUGAAGCACGAAAGCGUGGGUAGCGAAUGGGAUUAGAUACCCAUGUAGUCCCUGAGCGGGCUGGCAAGGCGCAU